This 253-nucleotide ribosomal RNA is filed under the name uncultured bacterium. RNAcentral's name for it is "partial 16S ribosomal RNA". It matches the Rfam family "Bacterial small subunit ribosomal RNA", at positions 524 to 776 of the family's 1533-position model. The record is from RNAcentral.
UACGUAGGGUGCGAGCGUUGUCCGGAAUUAUUGGGCGUAAAGGGCUCGUAGGCGGUCUGUCGCGUCGGGAGUGAAAACUCAGGGCUUAACCCUGAGCCUGCUUCCGAUACGGGCAGACUAGAGGUAUGCAGGGGAGAACGGAAUUCCUGGUGUAGCGGUGAAAUGCGCAGAUAUCAGGAGGAACACCGGUGGCGAAGGCGGUUCUCUGGGCCUUACCUGACGCUCAGGUGCGAAAGCUAGGGGAGCGAACAGG